CUUGUUUAUCUCCAACCACAAGUC
RNAcentral lists this unclassified non-coding RNA (24 nucleotides) under Arabidopsis thaliana (thale cress). The record is from RNAcentral. Lineage: Eukaryota; Viridiplantae; Streptophyta; Magnoliopsida; Brassicales; Brassicaceae.